RNAcentral lists this ribosomal RNA (960 nucleotides) under uncultured Actinomycetes bacterium. Its description in RNAcentral is "bacterial SSU rRNA". It matches the Rfam family "Bacterial small subunit ribosomal RNA", at positions 364 to 1336 of the family's 1533-position model. Lineage: Bacteria; Bacillati; Actinomycetota; Actinomycetes. The record is from RNAcentral.
UUGCACAAUGGGCGCAAGCUGAUGCAGCGACGCCGCGUGAGGGAUGACGGCCUUCGGGUUGUAAACCUCUUUCAGCACAGACGAAGCGCAAGUGACGGUAUGUGCAGAAGAAGCACCGGCCAACUACGUGCCAGCAGCCGCGGUAAUACGUAGGGUGCGAGCGUUGUCCGGAAUUGCUGGGCGUAAAGAGCUCGUAGGUGGUUUGUCGCGUUGUUCGUGAAAACUCACAGCUUAACUGUGGGCGUGCGGGCGAUACGGGCAGACUGGAGUACUGCAGGGGAGACUGGAAUUCCUGGUGUAGCGGUGGAAUGCGCAGAUAUCAGGAGGAACACCGGUGGCGAAGGCGGGUCUCUGGGCAGUAACUGACGCUGAGGAGCGAAAGCGUGGGGAGCGAACAGGAUUAGAUACCCUGGUAGUCCACGCCGUAAACGGUGGGUACUAGGUGUGGGUUUCCUUCCUUGGGAUCCGUGCCGUAGCUAACGCAUUAAGUACCCCGCCUGGGGAGUACGGCCGCAAGGCUAAAACUAAAAGAAAAUUGACGGGGGCCCGACAAGCGGCGGAGCAUGUGGAUUAAUUCGAUGCAACGCGAAGAACCUUACCUGGGUUUGACAUGCACAGGACGUGCCUAAAGAUAGGUAUUCCCUUGUGGCCUGUGUGCAGGUGGUGCAUGGCUGUUGUCAGCUCGUGUCGUGAGAUGUUGGGUUAAGUCCCGCAACGAGCGCAACCCUUGUCUCAUGUUGCCAGCGCGUUAUGGCGGGGACUCGUGAGAGACUGCCGGGGUCAACUCGGAGGAAGGUGGGGAUGACGUCAAGUCAUCAUGCCCCUUAUGUCCAGGGCUUCAAACAUGCUACAAUGGCCGGUACAAAGGGCUGCGAUGCCGUGAGGUGGAGCGAAUCCUUUCAAAGCCGGUCUCAGUUCGGAUCGGGGUCUGCAACUCGACCCCGUGAAGUAGGAGUCGCU